CACCCCUCAAGCUCUCUUGCUUGGUGUUGGGGUUCUGCGGCUUCGGCCGCAGGCCCUGAAAAACAGUGGCGGGCUCGCUAUAACUCCGAGCGUAGUAAUCUCUCUCGCUUUGGAAGUAUGGCGGUCCCCGGCCGUUAAACCCCCCAAUUUCUGAA
This 155-nucleotide unclassified non-coding RNA is filed under the name uncultured fungus. RNAcentral describes it as "sequence contains ITS2". The record is from RNAcentral. Lineage: Eukaryota; Fungi.